This is a non-coding RNA of Paramuricea clavata, 237 nucleotides long. Lineage: Eukaryota; Metazoa; Cnidaria; Anthozoa; Malacalcyonacea; Plexauridae. The record is from the annotation of a GenBank genome assembly.
AUAAUCUUCUAAACUGUUCGACGUACUUAAACUUAAAGCAGUUGCUUUUUUUUUUAGUUACACUAAAACGUUCUCUUCCUACUAUACUAACUAAAUUAAACCAUAUAGAUAAUAAUUUGCUCUAUAAAAUGUUUGUCUACCACAAUGGUACGGUAGGAAGGGUUGGGUAUGGGUUCCAAAAUUGAGGUUGAGGGUUCAUUGGGGGAAAUGUUCCAGGUGCAGGUGGAUAGGAUGGGG